Molecule: long non-coding RNA, 1636 nt
Filed under: Equus caballus (horse)
Lineage: Eukaryota; Metazoa; Chordata; Mammalia; Perissodactyla; Equidae
Description: lncRNA (ENSECAG00000056776.1)
Source: RNAcentral
CAGGAGGGUCAGAGGGCAGAGGAGUUCCCACCCCAGCAGGCCAGGCAGACGCGUGAAUGGCGGCCUCCCUGAAGGACUGCUGGACCACAGACACCAAUGCACGCGAACAUGCGCCUCCCCACGGAUGCUGCUGUUCCGUUUCCAUCCCAAAGAAUGGCCACGUGCGUGGACAACAGUUUAGCUGCAAAGAUGCUCAUGCCAGCUUUGUUAAUAAGCUGGCUCCAAGUGGCCCUCAGCAAGCCUCGCCUCCUGGCCUCCAUGCUCCUACGGACUCAACUCUCACACUGAGUCAGAGCCGGUCAGUGUGACCGCAGAAAACUGCAGAAGGGAGGGUGUGUGACGUCCCAGGCUAGGUCACAGGGCACUGUGACUUCCCCCUUUCUCUUGGGUCACUUGUUCUGAGGGAAAGGUGCCUGGUGCGAGGUUGCUGGAGCAGCCCUGUGCAGAGGCCCGAGGCAAGGGCAAGCAAGGCCUUUGCCACAGCCAGCACCGACGUGCUGACCGUCCCAGUGAGCCGCCGGGGAAUGGGGCCUCCAGCCCUGUCCAGCCCUCAGGCCCUUCUUAGCUUUGGAGAAUUCCCUCCUUCUGGGUCCCUGACUCCCCAGAGGAGCCAGAAACUGUUUCCCAGAACCAGGGUGUCGGCCCGCCGGACAGAGGCACAGCAGCAGACUCGGAUUGAGAGCCAGUGGCGCCUGGUGGAGGCCGGGAGAUGCCAGGACCAGCAGCAGCGGAUCCAGGGGAGCGCCCAGCCCAUUUGCGUGGUGGCUCUGCUCAGCACUGGCCACCAUCUCACUCCCUGGACCUGCCCUGUGGUGGCACAUUCAGGCUGUGUCCCUGCUGCACAGCCUCUCAGCCUGAACCUCAGGCUGCUCAAGAGAUGCUGGAAGCCCCCCAAUAUCCUAUAAUAAAUUCCGUUUCUGCUUAAACUCGUGCUCUUCGAACCUCUUUACUCCUCUGCCCUCCUCUCCUACUUCUUCUUGCUCAUGCACUCCCACCACACUGGACUUCUUGCUGUUCUUUGAACCUGCAAGAAUGCUCCCUGCCUCAGGGCCUUUGCACUGGCUGUUCCCUCUGUUUAGAAUGCUCUCCCCCCAGGUGCCUACAUGACUUAAGCCCUCGCCUCUUCAAAACUUUGUUAGAAUGGCAUUUUCUGAAUUUUGCUUUCCUGAUUACCCAGUUUGCAACUCCUCCAGCACACCCCAUAUCCCUUGCCUGCUCAUCCCCCCAUCCCUUUUUUUUUUUUGAGGAAGAUCAGUCCUGAGCUAACAUCUGUGCCCAUCUUCCUCGACUUUAUAAGUGGGACGCCUGCCACAGCAUGGCUUGACAAGCGGUGUGUAGGUCUGCACCCACAGUCUGAACUGGUGAACCCCAGGCUGCAGAAGCAGAAUGUGAGAACUUAACUGCUGUGCCAGCAGGCUGCUCCCCCCACCCCAUUUUUCAUAGCACUUAUCUCCUCAAACAUUGACUUUAUCAACUUAUCAUUUAUAGUCUUUCUCCAUGUGGGCAGGAAUUUGGGUCUGUUUUAUUCAAAGAUGUUUCCCCUGUACCUAAAACAGUGCUUGUCACGUUGUGGGCCCUCAACAAAUAUUUGUUGAAUAAAUGAAUGAAUGAAUUGAAAGAAUGAAUGAUUAGAAGA